Molecule: transfer RNA, 74 nt
Filed under: Brevibacterium jeotgali
Lineage: Bacteria; Bacillati; Actinomycetota; Actinomycetes; Micrococcales; Brevibacteriaceae
Rfam family: tRNA
About the family: Transfer RNA (tRNA) molecules are approximately 80 nucleotides in length. Their secondary structure includes four short double-helical elements and three loops (D, anti-codon, and T loops).
Source: Rfam by way of RNAcentral
GGGCCUAUAGCUCAGCUGGUCAGAGCACCUCGUUUACACCGAGGGGGCCGGGGGUUCGAGUCCCUCUGGGCCCA